RNAcentral lists this ribosomal RNA (274 nucleotides) under uncultured Spirotrichea. Its description in RNAcentral is "partial small subunit ribosomal RNA". It matches the Rfam family "Eukaryotic small subunit ribosomal RNA", at positions 195 to 469 of the family's 1831-position model. The record is from RNAcentral. Lineage: Eukaryota; Ciliophora; Spirotrichea.
GGAGGGCGGUAUUUAUUAGAUAACAAGCCAAUAUUCCUCCGGUCUAUUGUGGUGACUCAUAAUAACUGAUCGAAUCGCAAGGCCUAUGGCCGCGAUAUGUCAUUCAAGUUUCUGCCCCAUCAGCUUUCGAUGGUAGUGUAUUGGACUACCAUGGCGUUUACGGGUAACGGAGGAUUAGGGUUCGAUUCCGGAGAGGGAGCCUGAGAAACGGCUACCACAUCUAAGGAAGGCAGCAGGCGCGUAAAUUACCCAAUCCUGACUCAGGGAGGUAGUG